RNAcentral lists this ribosomal RNA (469 nucleotides) under uncultured bacterium. RNAcentral's name for it is "bacterial SSU rRNA". It matches the Rfam family "Bacterial small subunit ribosomal RNA", at positions 443 to 886 of the family's 1533-position model. The record is from RNAcentral.
AAAGGAAGGGUUGUAGAUUAAUACUCUUGCAAUUUUGACGUUACCGACAGAAUAAGCACCGGCUAACUCUGUGCCAGCUCCAGCCGCGGUAAUACAGAGGGUGCAAGCGUUAAUCGGAAUUACUGGGCGUAAUAGCGCGCGUAGGUGGUUCGUUAAGUUGGAUGUGAAAUCCCCGGCUCAACCUUCGGGAACUGCAUCCAAAACUGGCGAGCUAGAGUAUGGUAGAGGGGGUGGAAGCUUUCCUGUGUAGCGGUGAAAUGCGUAGAUAUAGGAAGGAACACCACGUGGCGCGAAGGCGACCACCUGGACUGAUACUGACACUGAGGUGCGAAAGCGUCGGGGGGAGCAAACAGGAUUAGAUACCCUGGUAGUCCACGCCGUAAACGAUGUCGAGGACUAGCCGUUGGGAGCCUUGAGCUCUUAGUGGCGCAGCUAACGCAUUAAGUGAUGACCGCCUGGGGAGUACGGU